RNAcentral lists this ribosomal RNA (254 nucleotides) under uncultured bacterium. RNAcentral describes it as "partial 16S ribosomal RNA". It matches the Rfam family "Bacterial small subunit ribosomal RNA", at positions 524 to 776 of the family's 1533-position model. The record is from RNAcentral.
UACGAAGGGGGCUAGCGUUGCUCGGAAUUACUGGGCGUAAAGGGCGCGCAGGCGGCUGCUCAAGUCAGGCGUGAAAGGCCUGGGCUCAACCCGGGAAUUGCGCUUGAGACUGGGCUGGCUUGAGUGCGGGAGAGGAUGGUGGAAUUCCCAGUGUAGAGGUGAAAUUCGUAGAUAUUGGGAAGAACACCGGUGGCGAAGGCGGGUCUCUGGGCCGAUACUGACGCUGAGGAGCGAAAGCGUGGGGAGCGAACAGG